RNAcentral lists this ribosomal RNA (468 nucleotides) under uncultured bacterium. RNAcentral's name for it is "partial 16S ribosomal RNA". It matches the Rfam family "Bacterial small subunit ribosomal RNA", at positions 28 to 507 of the family's 1533-position model. The record is from RNAcentral.
GACGAACGCUGGCGGCGUGCUUAACACAUGCAAGUCGAACGGAAAGGCCCUGCUUUUGUGGGGUGCUCGAGUGGCGAACGGGUGAGUAACACGUGAGUAACCUGCCCUUGACUUUGGGAUAACUUCAGGAAACUGGGGCUAAUACCGGAUAGGAGCUCCUGCUGCAUGGUGGGGGUUGGAAAGUUUCGGCGGUUGGGGAUGGACUGGCGGCUUUUCAGCUUGUUGGUGGGGUAGUGUCUUACCAAGGCUUUGACGGGUAGCCGGCCUGAGAGGGUGACCGGCCACAUUGGGACUGAGAUACGGCCCAGACUCCUACGGGAGGCAGCAGUGGGGAAUAUUGCACAAUGGGCGGAAGCCUGAUGCAGCAACGCCGCGUGCGGGAUGACGGCCUUCGGGUUGUAAACCGCUUUCGCCUGUGACGAAGCGUGAGUGACGGUAAUGGGUAAAGAAGCACCGGCUAACUACGUG